UCCAUCUUCAAUUGGAAAUCUUUCACAGCUCACCUCUCUCAAUCUUUAUUCCAAUCAGUUUUCGGGUCAGAUUCCAUCUUCAAUUGGAAAUCUUCCACUUCUUACCUCUCUUGAUCUUUCUUCCAAUCAGUUUUCGGGUCAGAUUCCAUCUUCAAUUGGAAAUCUUUCACAGCUCACCUCUCUCUAUCUUUCUUCCAAUCAGUUUUCGGGUCAGAUUCCAUCUUCAAUUGGAAAUCUUUCAUUUCUUACCUCUCUUGAUCUUUCUUCCAAUCAGUUUUCG
This 280-nucleotide long non-coding RNA is filed under the name Eutrema salsugineum. RNAcentral's name for it is "long non-coding RNA (ESAL_LNC001442)". Lineage: Eukaryota; Viridiplantae; Streptophyta; Magnoliopsida; Brassicales; Brassicaceae. The record is from RNAcentral.